UAAGGAAUAUUGGACAAUGGUCGCAAGACUGAUCCAGCCAUGCCGCGUGCAGGAAGACGGCCCUAUGGGUUGUAAACUGCUUUUGUACCAGAGAAAACCUAUCUACGUGUAGAUAGCUGAUAGUGUGGUAAGGAUAAGCAUCGGCUAACUUCGUGCCAGCAGCCGCGGUAAGACGAAGGAUGCAAGCGUUAUCCGGAUUCAUUGGGUUUAAAGGGUGCGUAGGCGGGCUUGUAAGUCAGUGGUGAAAUCUCUCAGCUUAACUGAGAAACUGCCAUUGAUACUGCAGGCCUAGAGUAUAGAUGACGUUGGCGGAAUAUGACAUGUAGUGGUGAAAUACUUAGAUAUGUCAUAGAACACCGAUUGCGAAGGCAGCUAACGAAACUAUAACUGACGCUGAGGCACGAAAGUGCGGGGAUCAAACA
RNAcentral lists this ribosomal RNA (422 nucleotides) under uncultured bacterium. RNAcentral's name for it is "bacterial SSU rRNA". It matches the Rfam family "Bacterial small subunit ribosomal RNA", at positions 355 to 774 of the family's 1533-position model. The record is from RNAcentral.